AUCUACAGCCACACCACCUGAAUGUGCCCAGUCUCGUCUGAUCUCGCUAAGCAGGGUCGGGCCUGGGCAGUACCCGGAUGGGAGACUGCUUGGAAGCACCAGGUGCUGUAGCGG
Molecule: ribosomal RNA, 114 nt
Filed under: Prolemur simus (greater bamboo lemur)
Lineage: Eukaryota; Metazoa; Chordata; Mammalia; Primates; Lemuridae
Source: RNAcentral